Cinara cedri is the source of this 281-nucleotide non-coding RNA. The record is from the annotation of a GenBank genome assembly. Lineage: Eukaryota; Metazoa; Arthropoda; Insecta; Hemiptera; Aphididae.
UGCAAUCGAGAAAAUCGAUAGUAAGAUUAUAUGUGGUUAUUAUAAGACCAACUCUUACGUAUGGUUGUGAAGUGUGGACGACAACCAAGCAGACGGAGAGAAAAAUGAAAAAUGUUGUGAACAAAGUAUGGAGAAAAAUAUGUGGCGAACAAAUAUAAAUUAAACAACCUUAUGUAUCCUACCUUCCCAACUUCUCACCUACAACAGCGGCCCUUUCAUCAUGCGAAGUGUGUCCGUCUUUCUUUUUACUCUGUGAAAUGUUCAUAAAUGAAGGAUACAGA